RNAcentral lists this ribosomal RNA (6836 nucleotides) under Triticum aestivum (bread wheat). RNAcentral's name for it is "partial small subunit ribosomal RNA". The record is from RNAcentral. Lineage: Eukaryota; Viridiplantae; Streptophyta; Magnoliopsida; Poales; Poaceae.
UACUCUAAGUGUGCAGGUGUGCGUGGGGGUGUGAGUGAGCGCGAGAGGCCGCGCCCUCACUUCUGCUUCUCUCUCCCUUCCGCUGCGCCCGUGACUGUGGCUGCGGGCGCGGGUAAAGGUAGGAGGCGCGGGCGGCGAAGGCAGGGUAGGUGGUGGCGGGUGAGGGAGCGGGGCGAGGGGCAAGGCGACGGAGCAGCAGCUGACGCCGGCUCGUCUCCUCCUUUUCGCUCGCUAGGCACCCUCCCUGCCUCCCUCGUCGCAUGCCUGUCCCUGUCAUCGCGCCCCUAGUCCGGACGCAACGCUCACCAACUCUAAGCACGAUACCCGCCUAAGAGACGCCGAUGUCGCCGCCUCGCCACGCGGCAGCCCUAGGUGCGCAGGGGCAGGAGCGGCCGCGGAGCGGGCGCCAGCAGCGUCGCCGGCGACGGGCAGGCGGCGCGGCGGCGGAGGAAGCGCCAGAGGGCGGCGUCGGAGGAGCACGGGGCUCGGCAGCGGCGCGGGUGGCUGGCGCGGAGGGGCCUUCAACAGCCUUCCAAGUUCGACCUCAGGUUGAGGCUCGAGGUCCACUGAGACUUGGGUCGCGGCGUCCCACGCCAGCGGCUCUAGUUAGAGGUCCGCUGGUUGUGGUCGCCGAGGGACCAAGACGUAACCCCGCGGGAGGCGGGCCUAUCCUCUCUUACCGAGGAGGGCAGGGCUUCUGGGCUACCUUGCUGUCACAUGUUCUUGUUCCGGGAGUCCAGUGGAAAACAUUUCAGUCCACUGUUAAGGUGCGACUCUUAACUCUAUCUACUAGGGCGCCAAGUUCGGUAGCUCAAGGAGCACAAGCUGCUCCGUGCCUUAUUUACCAAAUUUUUGUUACCGGUCUUAAAGGAUUAGGUUGAGGUCUGUUCGGUAUUACUCCCCGUUCUACGUGGACCACGAAGACGAAGACGAUAACACCACGGUCUCCUAGAACACGUCUAGGUUAGCAUGGAAGCAACCCUUUCCUUGCCUUUCGUCAGAAUAUGUCGACUGGUUCUCUUCCACCUCAUACUUCGUCGUGCUCGUCUCAAUUAUCUCCUUAAUUUGUCUCCACAAGGUGACCUCUUCGACGCUCGAUCUAAUUGUUUUUGUGGGCUCAGCUCACCUUCACUACGAGGACGUAGAGUUUGAUGGUAUUGGUCACAGGGUCUCCUUGAACAUGUUCAGGUCCGAAUGGAUUCUACCCUCUUUCGACCGUUCGGUUUAAUAAGGGGUCUCUUCGUUGACCAACUCAAACUCCUUCGUUCCUUCCUUGACGUCCGACUCAACCUAUUACCUCGGAGUCAACUAGUUAAUUCCUUCUUUUAACACUUUCCUUUGGAACUUUUCUUUCAAAGGUUCGUUGACCUCUUCUUCUUCAUGAAGAGUCAUCUUUCCUAAGUCGCGUCUUUGUCUCUAUAGUGCGUUGAAGAAUUAUUUGUAUUCGGACACCAAUGUCUUGUCGUUCAUUUUCGACGUGGGUUUGUCGGUUGACAAAACCUAGAGAAGUGUUUCAGGAACGUUCUCCCCCUAUUGACACUGCAGGAUUCGUCCUUCGAAAAGUUCUAGCCACUACUCCUCUAUGACCGUUAACGGUGUUUACGAGAUCCAUUUUGGUCUCAAGUGAACCGUUGUUUGGCAUACCUCGGUGAAUAAGAAGUGACCCGUGACCGUUUUUUAGGGCCUCUUACCCUCCGUGGAGGAAGAUCGUAUCACGGAAGACCGAGUUGUCAAGAGCUGUUCCGUACACUUUGAAGUAAGCCACUCAGACUUAACCUACCAAACGUUAUGGUCCAACAACUCUAUCUCGAACUACUGCCGUCUAUGUUCCCCUACGGGAAACAAGAGGCCGCACCACUUUGUACCUAUUUCUUGUUGCUGAGACUGAAGAUAAACCUAAAGUUGUGGUUUCAAUGGUUCUUUAGUUUCCUAUGCCCACUACGGCCAUUUCCGUGGCGUUUCCUAAAGGACCUUUCUUAUCGUCUAGACCUCCUUCUACGGGUCGCUAGAAAAUACGUGUCUAAAUUAUAACGCCGCCUAGAUCAACUGGUUCGGUCUCUACGACCUGAUAACCCAUAGCAACCUGAAAAACAAACCUAAUCUAAGUACAGAUGGUCCGUUGAUUAUACCUUGUUCUUGAUGUUACACUUUGGUGCACUCUAUUCGGUUCGUGUUCUGUCCAAAUGUCUACUGGAACUCUUAUACAUGUUUUCAAUGGGUGUCAUGUCUCUCUAGAAUUCUUACAAUAACAGACGACAACCAGCACCUCCACUUCCACUACAACCAGUCGCAUAGGCACUACUCUAUAAUCAUUAGGUCUCUUUAUUACUGACGUUUCCACCUUAAUACCUUCUUACCGUGGUCUUUGACGUGUUGUUAUGUUCGGGUCUACUACAUCAGUAUACGGUCCGCUAUUAACUAAUAUAGUUCUCGCUAAAGCUAUAGUUGCAAAUGACCCUGUGGAACUUGUUUUUACCGUAUUGGUUUCUUGCUGACAACUCGAUACUAGCACGUUAAGUAAGUCUUGGUUUUAAGUCCUCACUGGUCUUUCUCCCCAAUGAGGCACUAAACCCGUUGAUAUACUCUUCGGACUUCCGACACGUGAGACCACGACUAGAACUCAGACGAUAACGCUGUACAUACCCUAUGUUUAGUCUCCCACUUCCAAAGUACCAACCACAAGUUUAGUUGGGCCACUUACCAAAUAGUAGACCAAAAGGACUAAACGAAGUUAAACACGAACUGGUACAACUCCUAUUUAGUCGUCUCGGUGAAGAACUCCCCAAUAACCUCCGAGCACAACUUGAUGCGGGAAACGAGUGACCGAGUAGACUUGCGAACUUCCUAGAAUAGAAAAACCUGUAACGAGAACUAAGAUGAAAGUCCUGUCGUCAACUUUCCAGCAUACUCCUCGACUUACUACGUCGUGGCCUCUUUUAAUACAUGAAGUAGUCAGAACAAGAACUUUUAGAACGGAACAGGUGACUGCUGUUGCUUCUGUAGAAUAUAACGAAUUUCCCUACCUUAGCUCGGUACCUGUACCAAUUCGUUUUCCUACUGGUUACCCGAGAGAUGCGAUUUCGUAAAGAACUGUCUUGGUCUGAACGGGAACGCUCGUUCCCGCUUGUUAUGAUGUUAUACUACGUCGGGAGCCGACUUAUAGAACCGAGUAAUGAGUUGCAACUCCUUACCCGACAACUGUAGAAGUGUCUUCUUCAUUAAGCACCACCUAGUCGACGGUGAAAUAGACGAGAAGACUUGGCUAAACUGGGACAAGAGUCUUUACAGCGUGUGGAACCUUCAACCGUCCAAUAAUCGGGUCAACUUCAUUGUCCAAUAUAACAUCACCAACUAUUCAACGAAAGACAAGUUUUGUUUUGAAUACUAUUUGGUUGUUAGGAACACCGUUUCUCACAGUUCCCUCUCCUUCUUUAUGGUCUACCACAACAACCGCACUAUUGUGGACUAUACGGUCUACAAGACAGAGUACACAGUCAAGCUCGUUCCUUAACGUUCCACAACAAACGCUGUACGAAACUGGGCUUAUGGGACAGACUUAAAGUUCCUGUACUUCCCUUCCACAAAAGGAAGUUUUGAUGAAGACGUCUACAGUGGAUGUCCCUCCAUAGCCUGUCACUUGAAUACGUCAGUUCAAGAAGUCUACGUGUUCCACCACUUCGUUAUGGUAGAAAUAGUAAUCAGUUCUUUUUCAAGGAACCUUUUAUACGUUAUAGUCGCCUUCUCAAGAGACUACUUUACCAACCUCGUUUCAGGGCGUUGUAUCGUAUGGACUUUCCUUUUCAUGGAAGUACCCAACCAUAGGGUUGUAGUCAACGCUAUGGUAAACCCUGGAAACUCUUCUAUAACAGACUACUCUGGUUAUUCCUUCAUCGUGUUUUGUAUGUCUACGACUUCCCGUCUGAACGAGUUCUUCUAAAAUCACGAGAUCCUCUUUAGGCCUUUUGACAAGAAUUAGAUUGACGAGGUUGAGUUGGCCAAUUCCUCGACUUCCUCUUCUACGAUUCGAGGCCUUACGGGACCGGACCUCUACUUUCACUGGUGGCAACCCUCGUUCGUACCUACCGUUAAUUUUUCCAAACCCGUAGUUUUACCUUACUUUCUCGUAUGAAAUCAUGUGCGUUCCACUUCGAGCUAGUACUCAUGGAAAGGUACCGACAAGAACAUGUUCUUUAACAGUUGCGUCUGAUACGGAAACAGUAAGUAUGAUGCUUGGGCAGUAGACCUCUAAGAAGACUCUAUAUACGACUUCACCACUUUCCUGAACCUCUCUGUGAACACCCUCGAAUAGGACCGGCACGGUACUCGAAGCACACAUUCUUUCUACUGGAACUGAGAGGGUUCCAUGACCCAAUGGGAUCGUUCGGUUAACCAGAGAAGUAUUUCGCCAGUUAGUAGAAGGCGAGUCUGAGAUUACCACUCCUAGACCUUCCAAUGCGACCUCGUCCCGACAUACUAUCACAGGGAUACCUACACCUUCUACUUCAACAUGAGCUGAUGUGCUGGCUGGGAGAGUAGUGACUGAGACCUAAGGCCUUGAGUUAGGAGAGUUCGUAACGUGCCCGACCGGUGCGGUAGCUCCUCGAGAUACCCAGUGGUGUCCUACAACUCCCUCAUCACUUCCUACCCUUCUAGAUGCAUCAGGUCUGUUCUGGUGUCUACAUUAUACAUACAUAUGCGCCGAGUUCAACAUCUCAUCAUCCUAUAUACCAGGAACGACCGUACAUAUCAACAUGAGUAUCCACGUGUUGUGUAGAUGCAACAAUAAAUAAACGUAUAUGCGAGUCUUAUUCGAAACUAGUGUAUGACAUAAAGGAUCUCAUGGUCUUUCACAUACAUGCUAGUCCUUAUACUGGAAUAAUUUUGGUAACUCCCCUUUACAAAACUGAAAACUCGUUAGAUAUAAAUGUGCACGUCAAUAUUACAUUUAUAGUCGUCAGACGAACGAAAAACCAGGAGAGGAAAUACGGGUUGUCGAUCUUCCAUACUUUUUUAGGACAUUUAUAGACAAGAGACUUUUACUGUCGAAGAACAUGAGCAGUCGUCGUUUAUAGGCUUCUCUCAAAUAGGGGUCAACGGGUCCUCAGUGUCGGAGUGUCCGUGUCCUUCUUGUUGGACUCCACUCUUUACCGUCCCAAGAAGCCGUGGACACGACGAAGACUAGUGAUAACAAACGUCGAGUCUAGACCUAGUCGAGUGGUACUUGACUAAUCUGGUUUGUUCAUGUCUUCCUGGUACUAGUCCACGACGUCGUGUCGCUUCCCCUUCUGUUCUUCCCUGAUGAAGGUCCAAGAACCUCAUCGUUGAGUAAGGUGUGGAGUCCUCUAGUUCCUUCGAAUGUCCUUUGAGGUCUUCGUUGUGGUAGGACUAUAACGACCGCUGUUCCCGGUACUGGUGCGCGAUAACGACUUACUCCGCAUACUCCACAACUACUCCUCAAGUAGGUCCUUUCGACUACCUAAACCGUUCUCGUCUCCGCCGAAACCCUCGCCAAUGUGGCCCCUGCCUAUGUCAAGAACCUUACCCGGAUAGUCCUCGGUCCGAGAGAAGCACCUACUCUUGUUUACGUAUCCUACAUCCCUCACACAAGUGGUACGACCCCUCUGCAAACGGUACCUGCUACAAGAACCUUCACGCGUGCAGCUUCAGGUCAAACCGCUGCACCUCGUCGUCUAGGUCCACCGACACCUCAGAACGGGACACUUGACGUAGGUGACCCAACCCUCACUUCUCGAGGGCCACGACCUCAAGUACCGCGCCGGUGUCGCGUUCCUUCCCGUGCCGCAUAAGCCGCCGCCCACCCUCUCCGGGUUCCUGCACAAGCGCCGCCGGUCCUUGAAGCGGUUCUUUGAGCUCUCCGUCCUCGUCGUCCUUUCAAGGUCCCCGCGUUUGCCCCCACUUCUACACCUCCGACUUUGCCGUCGCGUCCGGCUUCGCUCUGCGGUGCGCCCCGUCCUCGAUGCCACCUUCUCAAACAAGCUACAAACCUUACCCAACCCUCUGACCUCCUUUAGGCCUUGUCUGUCCAUCUACACGUUACCGAUCAGCGACCAAGCACUACCACACUUCUGACGUUGGUGUGUGACUACAACAUGCUGCACGACAUUAUGGACCCUAUAUCCUCAUUCUACCUUCUACUGUGUCUUGUUGAAAAAAGAAAAAAAAACUCUUAAGAGCGGGGUGAAAAAAAUAAGUUGUUUUACAGGUAUCCAUGUUACAAACCUAGUACUCCAAAGGGGUUGGUUUAUACUGCAGGAUACAGUCCCACCUGUGCCAGGCCAGGCCAGGGACUGGCUCGGAAGCAAACCUGGCCGGCGACCGCCAGGCCUGGCUCGUCCCCUCGCCAGGACAAAGGCCCCUGGCCUGGCCGCCGCAGUUUCGGGCCCGGUCUGGCUCACCUGGCUUACCUGGCCGAUCGUGCUGGUCGCAGGUACACACGCCAACGACGCCGCUCCACCGCAUGCACGCGAUGACGACGCUACUUCACCUGCUGCACGCGCUCGCGACUGGACGCGCUCUUAACUGACUGUUGACUUUCAAACUGCUUUGACUGCUUCACCUAAAAGACUUAGACUGACAACCUUAUGGGGAUGUUCUGGCCGUGAAGACUUAGACUGACAACCUUAUGGGGAUGUUCUGGCCGACGUGGUUGCACUCUAACAGAGUGCAUCGAGAGAGAGAGGCAUUGUUGAUCAGGAGCAGAGAUCACGUACUUGACGUACUAGAGUACUCGAAUAGAUCUACUCAAUCAAUGCCUCCAACACAACCGCGUCACCGGCGUGGACGGCUGGAUGCACGAGGAAAAGAGACAUAUAGAC